Molecule: ribosomal RNA, 279 nt
Filed under: uncultured bacterium
Lineage: Bacteria
Description: partial 16S ribosomal RNA
Rfam family: Bacterial small subunit ribosomal RNA
Source: RNAcentral
UGCCAGCCGCCGCGGUAACACGGGGGGCGCAAGCGUUAUUCGGAAUUAUUGGGCGUAAAGCGAGUGUAGGCGGUUUGACCAGUCGGAUGUGAAAUCCCAGGGCCCAACCCUGGAACUGCAUCCGAUACUGUCAGGCUAGAAUUCCGGAGAGGGUGGCGGAAUUCCCGGUGUAGGGGUGAAAUCCGUAGAUAUCGGGAGGAACACCAGUGGCGAAGGCGGCCACCUGGACGGUAAUUGACGCUGAGACUCGAAAGCGUGGGUAGCAAACAGGAUUAGAUA